GACGUAGGGCGCGAGCGUUGUCCGGAUUUAUUGGGCGUAAAGAGCUCGUAGGCGGCUCAUUGUGUCAACCGUGAAAACCUGCCGCUCAACGGUAGGCUUGCGGUUGAUACGGGUGGGCUGGAGUUCGGUAGGGGAGACUGGAAUUCCUGGUGUAGCGGUGAAAUGCGCAGAUAUCAGGAGGAACACCGGUGGCGAAGGCGGGUCUCUGGGCCGAUACUGACGCUGAGGAGCGAAAGCGUGGGGAGCGAACAGG
RNAcentral lists this ribosomal RNA (253 nucleotides) under uncultured bacterium. RNAcentral's name for it is "partial 16S ribosomal RNA". It matches the Rfam family "Bacterial small subunit ribosomal RNA", at positions 524 to 776 of the family's 1533-position model. The record is from RNAcentral.